Molecule: transfer RNA, 150 nt
Filed under: Cordylochernes scorpioides
Lineage: Eukaryota; Metazoa; Arthropoda; Arachnida; Pseudoscorpiones; Chernetidae
Description: tRNA-Gly
Source: RNAcentral
GCUUUUGGUUCAGUGGUAGAAUGCUCGCCUGCCACCCGGACGCCCUGGGUUCGAUUCACGGCCGAUGCAUUUUUUUUUUUUUUACAAUUUUCAAAACUCAUUUAUAUAUUAUAGUGGCGGGCGCCCCGGGUUCGAUUCCCGGCCGAUGCA